This 919-nucleotide long non-coding RNA is filed under the name Sorghum bicolor (sorghum). RNAcentral describes it as "long non-coding RNA (SBIC_LNC015275)". Lineage: Eukaryota; Viridiplantae; Streptophyta; Magnoliopsida; Poales; Poaceae. The record is from RNAcentral.
AAAAAGAUGAUGUGUGGGGUCCAUCCAAUGGCAGGCAAAUUCAACCAAAGCUAGCAAAGGAAGAAUUUGCUUUGUCCAAAUAAUAAAACUGCUCAAAUGCGUCAUCUAUAUGGACCUUAUUAGCAUUAGUGGACUAUCCUUGUUUUAUUUAUAUAUAGGCCCUGUUUGGUUCCACCAACUAAAUUUUAGCUAGCUAAAAUUAUUUUAGCUACUCUUGGGUGACUAAUGGAACUAAACUAUUUUAGUCUCUUUUAGUCAAUGUGUUUGGAACUUUAGCUACUAAAGUGACUAAAGUUUAGCUAGCUAAAAUUUAGUUGGUGGAACCAAACAGGGCCAUAGAAAGACGUUAAUUUAAUUUACAGCACGGAGCUUGGUCUAAUUGGACGGAUGCACGCAUGCGUGGACUGCAAGCUCCUCUACCAUAUAUAACCAUUGUUAAUGACAUCUCUUGUCACCGUUUUCUUUAUGAAUCAGGAGGGCGAGGGCCCUACUGUAAAAUGACGUUAAUCAAAAGGAAAAUCUGAGGAGGUUUGUUUCAAUAAAAGAUGAAAUUAAGAGACAAAGAAAGAAAGAAAGAAAGAAAAGGAAAAGGAAUCCGAAAACCAAAUUGAGGGAGGCUCUUCUUCUUGGCUAUAUGCCUAUAUGCAAAAGCAAGGAAAGCUCCUUAAAGAAGUUUGACUUGCAAGCCAAAAUGUUCUAGCUGAUUCGAUUUAAGAUCUGGUUAUUCAUAGCGGUCCAAAUUGUCCAAGCCAUUGAUAUAUGAAAAAGAGGAGGGAGGGAGGCGACUCUUGAAGUUAUUUAUGGUUUCAAAAAAAUACUAAUGUUGGUUGGGCAUAUAUCAGAUUUAAAUCAAGCCCCUUCUUUUAACAAAGGGGCAGUCCAGGAGUAGGUGUUCAAGGAUUUCUUUAGUGUUUAAGGA